This is a long non-coding RNA of Camellia sinensis, 1246 nucleotides long. RefSeq lists it as uncharacterized. The record is from RefSeq and is a predicted model, not a curated record. NCBI's taxonomy places the organism in Eukaryota, Viridiplantae, Streptophyta, Magnoliopsida, Ericales, Theaceae.
AACUCCUAAAAUCUGAGAUUAUGUUUGAGAGAGAGAGAGAGAGAGAGAGAAAGAGAGAGUGCACUUUUAGAGAGAGAAAGUGUAGAUUGUGAAAGAGAACUUGAGGAUCAUUGUUUGUAAGUUCAAGAUUGUACAAGAACAAGAGAAUUUGGAGACUCUAGGUCAACGUUCAAAGAUUGAUUGACCGUUUCCGGAUGCCCACUGUGAGUGUGUGUAGGACCAGGCCUAAGGGCUUCUGUCUGACUUCCAUUUUAUCAAGCCAACCAUUAUGCCUCACGUGGAGGUUCCUAAAGUGUCGCAUGUCAUAAGCUCUGGUUGCCUCUGUAUAUAAGGCUUGAUUUUGUUUCAUUGGCUGUAUUUAAGAUGUUAUAGUUAAGUGUGUGGGUAUAAUGUGAGAAUGAUUUUUGGUUAUACCAUAUAUAAAGUUUUAAAUAUUCUGUUUCACUUAAAUCCGCAUAGCUCAUUGGACACUUAUUAUUAUGUAUUUGCUUUGGCUAGCCCCUUAUUUUGUGAUUCUGUUUCAAAGGCCGUAGAUAAUCUUAGGAUUACUGGACGGUUACGACGCUAAACCUAUAGGGACAGGUUUGGGUCAUGACACGUUUAGUAAACGAGCCGAAUUUGAACUCGAAUAUUAGGCUCGUUUAGUAAAUGAGUCAAGCUUAUGCUCGAAUAAGCUUUGUUUGUCAAGUUCGGCUCGUUUGGCUUUAUUUAAAUAAUAUAAAUAAUAUUAGAAAAAUCUUAUCAAGCCAAGCUAAGCCAAGUCGAGCUGAGCUCGAGCCCAGUUAGUUAUCAAGCCAAGCUCAAAAUUAAUAAGCAAAUGAACCGAGUUCGACCUCGGAAAGGCUCAGCUCGUUUACAGCCCUAAUAGAACUACAAAAUUUCAAUAACUAAUCUAUAAAAAUACGUAACACUACCAUUAAUAUGCAUAAAAAUUAAAUAAAAAACAAAAACAAAAACAAAUGUAACAGACCAUUAAGUGUCGUAAUGAACUAUACUAUAACAUCACUUGUGUGUUUUAACUAAACAAACCACUAGGUACGGCGUAAUAGAACUAUAAAAUUUUGAUAAAAAAUAAAUAAAGCCACUAUUAAUAUGCGUAAAAGUUCUUUUUAAAAAAUAUAACAAGAUGAUUAAAGUACGUAAUGGAUCAUUAAGUAAUGUAACUCACCAUAAUUAUAAAUAAAGAAUUACACUUUGACAUAGCUUGUGCAUCUUAACUCCCAAAACUAUUAGCUAUGGCAUAAUA